Molecule: small nuclear RNA, 136 nt
Organism: Sapajus apella (tufted capuchin)
Lineage: Eukaryota; Metazoa; Chordata; Mammalia; Primates; Cebidae
Product: U4 spliceosomal RNA
Exons: 1
Source: RefSeq, a predicted model, not a curated record
AGCUUUGUGCAGUGGCAAUAUUGUAGUCAAUGACGUUUAUCUGAGGCUCGAUUGUUGCUAAUUGAAAAAAAAAAAAAGAAAAAGAAAAGAAAGGACUUUGGUUUAGUUUGGUAGAUCCUUAAACCCCAAAUGUGGG